This 253-nucleotide ribosomal RNA is filed under the name uncultured Lactobacillus sp. RNAcentral's name for it is "partial 16S ribosomal RNA". It matches the Rfam family "Bacterial small subunit ribosomal RNA", at positions 284 to 524 of the family's 1533-position model. The record is from RNAcentral. Lineage: Bacteria; Bacillati; Bacillota; Bacilli; Lactobacillales; Lactobacillaceae.
UAGCCGACGUUGAGAGACUGAUCGGCCACAUUGGGUACGUGAGACACGGCCCAAACUACCUACGGGAGGCGAGCAGUAGGGAAUCUUCCACAAUGGACGCAAGUCUGAUGGAGCAACGCCGCGUGAGUGAAGAAGGGUUUCGGCUCGUAAAGCUCUGUUGUUGGUGAAGAAGGACAGGGGUAGUAACUGACCUUUGUUUGACGGUAAUCAAUUAGAAAGUCACGGCUAACUACGUGCCAGCAGCCGCGGUAAU